Molecule: ribosomal RNA, 1881 nt
Filed under: marine metagenome
Description: bacterial LSU rRNA
Rfam family: Bacterial large subunit ribosomal RNA
Source: RNAcentral
UGGCCAGGUUGAAGCCCAGAUAAUAUCUGGGUGAAGGACCGAACCCGUUACCGGUGCAAAGGUAUGGGAUGAGCUGUGGGUAGAGGUGAAAUGCCAAUCGAACCCGGAGAUAGCUGGUUCUCCCCGAAAUGUAUUUAGGUACAGCCUCAAGGUAGUCUGGGGGAGGUAGGGCACUGGAUGGGCUAGGGGGCGUGAGCCUACCAAACCCAACCAAACCACGAAUGCCCCUAGAUGGUCCUUGGGAGUGAGACAGUGGGGGAUAAGCUCCAUUGUCGAGAGGGAAACAGCCCAGACCGCAGGCUAAGGUCCCCAAGUGUGAACUAAGUGUGAAAGGAAGUGGGAUUCCUAAAACAGCUAGGAGGUUGGCUUAGAAGCAGCCACCCUUUAAAGAGUGCGUAACAGCUCACUAGUCGAGGGAUCCUGCGCCGAAAAUGUAACGGGGCUAAAGUUCACCACCGAAGCCGCGGGAUUCGCCUUUAUUGGCGGAUCGGUAGGGGAGCGUUGCCAGGGCAGUGAAGCUGAGAUGUGAGUCUUGGUGGAGCGCUGGGAAGUGAGAAUGCCGGCAUGAGUAGCGACAAUCCUGGUGAGAAUCCAGGACACCGAAAGCCUAAGGUUUCCUACGCAACGCUGAUCGGCGUAGGGUAAGUCGGGCCUAAGCUAUAGCGUACAAGCGAAAGCGAUGGACAACGGGUCAAAAUUCCCGUACCACUGUUAUAUCGCUUUAAGGCAAAGGGGGGACGCGGGAAGAUAGGCGGAGCGCGCCCAUUGGACAUGGUGCGUUUAGCCCUGAAGGCCAUGCCAGGAUAGGUAAAUCCGUUCUGGCGUUACGAGCUGAGGGGGCCGAAAACUCUAGGGCCAGAGCCCUGGGGGAUUCCGUUGAUUCUAUGCCGCCGAGAAAAGCCUCGUUGCUAGAGAUAACAGUGUCCGUACCGAAAACCGACACAGGUAGGCAGGGGUAAAUGUCCCCAGGUGAACGAGCGAACCCUCGUUAAGGAACUCGACAACUUGACCCUGUAACUUUGGGAGAAAGGGUGCCCGUGAGGUGAAGUCCGCUUGCCGGAUCAGCCUUUGCGGGCCUCAGUUAACAGGCCCAGGCGACUGUUUAUCAAAAACACAGGUCUCUGCUAAGCCGAAAGGCGAUGUAUAGGGGCUGACGCCUGCCCAGUGCCGGAAGGUUAAGAGGAAAGGUUCGUCAAGCUUAGGCAAGACAAAGCUUUGAAUCGAAGCCCCGGUGAACGGCGGCCGUAACUAUAACGGUCGACCAGUGCAGUGUGUGGAGAAGGCUCGGGGGCAACCCCGAUCUUCAAGACGACUGUGCUAGGCCGUUAAAAAAUCUGGCUAUAUGCUGGAAACUCUGAGUAUCCUGGACUACUAACGGAGUCAGUCGUGGGCAUUGCCCGACUGGCGGACGUUGCGUAACAACGUGACUUCUUCUCGCCCAUGUAGGGUGGGACCGCAGUGAAAAUGUCCCAGGUGCAGACAAUCAGCAGGAAAGACCCGGGUGGCAACACUCGGGAAUCCUCAGAGACCAUACGCCAGACUCUCCGAACGGAACCGGAGAGAAGAGAUGGUCCGACCUGCAUGGCGACAUGCAGAGGCCGGCAGAAAUGGCCGGCCCAUCCCGACGAGUUCGGCGAACUCCGGCAAAUCGGGAGAGUAACAAUGUGCCUAAGGUAGCGAAAUCCCUUGUCGGGUAAGUUCCGACCCGCACGAAUGGCGUAACGACCUGGGCGUUGUCUCAACGAGGGGCUCGGUGAAAUUGCAAGGCCCGUGAAGAUGCGGGCUACCCGCGACAGGACAAAAAGACCCCGUGGAGCUUUACUGUAGCUUGGCAGUGGACUGGGGUUAUGGAUGUGUAGGAUAGGCGGGAGACUUUGAAGU